RNAcentral lists this ribosomal RNA (404 nucleotides) under uncultured bacterium. Its description in RNAcentral is "bacterial SSU rRNA". It matches the Rfam family "Bacterial small subunit ribosomal RNA", at positions 355 to 776 of the family's 1533-position model. The record is from RNAcentral.
UGGGGAAUCUUGGACAAUGGGGGCAACCCUGAUCCAGCGAUGCCGCGUGGGUGAUGAAGGCCUUCGGGUUGUAAAGCCCUUUCGGCGGGGACGAUAGUGACGGUACCCGCAGAAGAAGCCUCGGCUAACUCCGUGCCAGCAGCCGCGGUAAGACGGAGGAGGCUAGCGUUGUUCGGAAUUACUGGGCGUAAAGCGCGCGCAGGCGGCUUAGCAAGUCAGGGGUGAAAGCCCGGGGCUCAACCUCGGAACUGCCUUUGAGACUGCUAGGCUCGAGACCGAGAGAGGAGAGUGGAAUUCCCAGUGUAGAGGUGAAAUUCGUAGAUAUUGGGAAGAACACCAGUGGCGAAGGCGGCUCUCUGGCUCGGUACUGACGCUGAGGCGCGAAAGCGUGGGGAGCAAACAGG